UCCGUAGGUGAACCUGAGGAGGGAUCAUUA
RNAcentral lists this ribosomal RNA (30 nucleotides) under Amycosphaerella africana. RNAcentral's name for it is "partial 18S ribosomal RNA". Lineage: Eukaryota; Fungi; Ascomycota; Dothideomycetes; Mycosphaerellales; Mycosphaerellaceae. The record is from RNAcentral.